GGGGGUAUAGCUCAAUGGUAGAGCACUUGCCUCACAUGCACAAGACCUUAGGUUUUAUCCCUAACACUGCAA
This 72-nucleotide transfer RNA is filed under the name Ictidomys tridecemlineatus (thirteen-lined ground squirrel). Its description in RNAcentral is "Spermophilus tridecemlineatus (thirteen-lined ground squirrel) tRNA". It matches the Rfam family "tRNA". Rfam says of the family: Transfer RNA (tRNA) molecules are approximately 80 nucleotides in length. The record is from Rfam by way of RNAcentral. Lineage: Eukaryota; Metazoa; Chordata; Mammalia; Rodentia; Sciuridae.